UGAGCAAUCUGCCCUUCACAUCGGAAUAACCAUUGGAAACGAUGGCUAAUACCGAAUAUGACUUCGGAUCGCAUGAUCUGAAGUGGAAAGCUCCGGCGGUGAAGGAUGAGCUCGCGGCCUAUCAGCUUGUUGGUGAGGUAAUAGCUCACCAAGGCGAUGACGGGUAGCCGGCCUGAGAGGGUGACCGGCCACACUGGGAGUGAGACACGGCAGA
This 214-nucleotide ribosomal RNA is filed under the name uncultured bacterium. Its description in RNAcentral is "partial 16S ribosomal RNA". It matches the Rfam family "Bacterial small subunit ribosomal RNA", at positions 118 to 335 of the family's 1533-position model. The record is from RNAcentral.